GAUGAACGCUGGCGGCGUGCUUAACACAUGCAAGUCGAACGGUGAAGGAGGAGCUUGCUCUUCUGGAUCAGUGGCGAACGGGUGAGUAACACGUGAGCAAUCUGCCCUUGACUCUGGGAUAACAGUUGGAAACAGCUGCUAAUACCGGAUACGAGACGUGACCGCAUGGUCAACGUCUGGAAAGAACUUCGGUCAAGGAUGAGCUCACGGCCUAUCAGCUAGUUGGUGAGGUAAUGGCUCACCAAGGCGACGACGGGUAGCCGGCCUGAGAGGGUGACCGGCCACACUGGGACUGAGACACGGCCCAGACUCCUACGGGAGGCAGCAGUGGGGAAUAUUGCACAAUGGGCGAAAGCCUGAUGCAGCAACGCCGCGUGAGGGACGACGGCCUCGGUUGUAACGUCUUUAGUCAAGGAAGAAGACGAAAGUAGACGGUACGUUGUCAGAAAAGACGACCGGCGUAACUAACGUAGCCAGCAGCCGCGGUAA
RNAcentral lists this ribosomal RNA (489 nucleotides) under uncultured bacterium. RNAcentral's name for it is "bacterial SSU rRNA". It matches the Rfam family "Bacterial small subunit ribosomal RNA", at positions 28 to 523 of the family's 1533-position model. The record is from RNAcentral.